This is a long non-coding RNA of Leguminivora glycinivorella, 1873 nucleotides long. RefSeq lists it as uncharacterized. The transcript has 2 exons. The record is from RefSeq and is a predicted model, not a curated record. Lineage: Eukaryota; Metazoa; Arthropoda; Insecta; Lepidoptera; Tortricidae.
AUAUGGUACUGAGGUACGUUUUUUUCUUAGACUUUAUCUGUCUAGAUGGAGUUAUCUAUAUAUGUCUUUGUUCUGAUGUAUGGGGUGACAGUUCAGAUUAGUAUGAAGUAAAUAUUAGUUCUAAUGAAAUUCCGCAACAUGGCGCGUUUUCAUUAAACGACAACUGAACAGGCUCUAUAAAAAGGUUUACUACAAUAAGUAAUCAAAAUGCUAGUCCAUAAUAUUGUAUUUAAUAUAAGCUUGUAAAACAACUGGUAUCAUCCAAUGCUUUAACUAUUUAAAAGCUGCGUGCAAUGCAGGCACAUUGGUCCUCAGAAAGCAUAUUUUACACAUUUUCGUAGCUAAUAUAAUGUAGUCUAAUGGCACCAAUUCAUAUUUUUCAUGACUCAUUUUUUUUUCAGUCUUAUUAAUAACAUAGCAAAUAAUUAAUAUAAAUGACUAAUUUUAUAAUUCUCAAUAACAAUAUCAAGUGAAUUCAUUGUAAUUAACAUUAGAAUACUUAAUGUACAUUCAAGGGUCUCCCCACAUUUUUUUCAUACUACGUCGGUGGCAAACAAGCAUACGGUCCACCUGAUGGAAAGCGGUCACCGUAACCUAUGGACGCGUGCAACUCAAGGAGUGUCACAUGCGCGUUGCCAUCCCAUUAGAAAAUUGUACACUCCUUUUUGCUGUGUUAAGUACACAUCAAAAGGAGUGUACAAAUUCUAAGGAGGGAACUCGGGUUGCCGACGCGUCCGUCACCAGCACACCGCACCUCACCCUCGCUCUGGCAGCCUUCCUCACGAGCAGGAGCACAACACUAUGAGUAGGGUCUAAUGCUAUCGACUCGGAAUCGGCAAAAUGUGAUAGGAAAUAUUUUAGGCUUGCGGUAGAAAGCGAAAGUAACUCGGCUCGGCACGCAUUUUGCAAGGCUCGCCGGGACGUAAAUCACACAUCUCUUUCUCAUUGUAUUACAUAACUGAACUGAUAAUAAGUAUAUGUAUGUCUAAGGACGUGCAGUCUAUGUCACAGCGACAUAUUCUCGCGCUGCUGCUGCUAUCGGCGCUUUCCGACGCGUAGCGUGCACGUAGCGAUUAUGUGGGGAGACUCUUUACUUGAAAUUAUAUUUAAUUAGGAUAAUGGAUAGUUAAUAAAGCGGAUCAAGCUUAUAAUUAUACAUACAGUCUUCGUUUGAGUGCGAUAAUCUUACAAAUAAAAUGUCUUAAAUUACUUUAUAAUUGACUAAAUUAUGUUACUGAUGGUCGUUCCUUAUUAAAUAUUGAUUAAGCCAUAAGUAUUGUCCCGGAGCUGUAAGUUCACAUUUAAACUGGCGCGACCUAAUGAAAUUUUAAAUAAAAUCCUGUAAUAGUGUUAAUAAAAAUCAAGUACCUACCUACUUAAAAACAAUAUAUCGCUUACUUCAAACAUAAUCUAACACAUGUUACAUUCUUCGUUAGUGAGUAUUUUACGAUAUUAAUUUAUCACGCAGGAUUUACUUAUUAUGUCAUUUACAAUGAUCGGGGAUUUGGUUGCCACACGGGGUGAAUGACCUCAAUCAUUAUGCUAGUAUGGAUAUGCCGCGGGAUUCCGGGCUUUAUAUGGUUAGAUAAAGGACAGUUUUUUUAAUCAUAAUUUACCUGUAUAAUGUUAUAUAUUGGUUGUCAAUGUAUUGCUAUUAUGGGUCAAUGUUUUAAAUGUGACAUGACAUCAUCAAUGUUAUUAAUGCUGAGUUUUUUUUAAUUAGUUUAAUAUAGGCCUGUCUUACAAUAAAAUAUGUGAUUUAAUAUAAAAAAUCACUUUAUUAUCAUCCAACAACACUAAAAGGCAACAUAUUAUAUACCAACUUCAUCAUCAAGCCUACUUCAGUUUUUGGUGCUGUUUAAUUCACAGUUUA